RNAcentral lists this ribosomal RNA (1410 nucleotides) under human gut metagenome. Its description in RNAcentral is "bacterial SSU rRNA". It matches the Rfam family "Bacterial small subunit ribosomal RNA". The record is from RNAcentral.
AGAGUUUGAUCCUGGCUCAGGACGAACGCUGGCGGCGUGCCUAAUACAUGCAAGUCGAGCGAAUGACUAGAGAAGCUUGCUUCUCUAUGAUUUAGCGGCGGACGGGUGAGUAACACGUGGGUAACCUACCCUAUAGAUUGGGAUAACUUCGGGAAACCGGAGCUAAUACCGGAUAAUACUUCGAACCACAUGGUUUGAAGUUGAAAGAUGGUUUCGGCUAUCACUAUAGGAUGGACCCGCGGCGCAUUAGCUAGUUGGUGAGGUAAAGGCUCACCAAGGCAACGAUGCGUAGCCGACCUGAGAGGGUGAUCGGCCACACUGGGACUGAGACACGGCCCAAACUCCUACGGGAGGCUGCAGUAGGGAAUCUUCCACAAUGGACGCAAGUCUGAUGGAGCAACGCCGCGUGAGUGAAGAAGGCUUUCGGGUCGUAAAACUCUGUUGUUAGAGAAGAACAAGGAUUUGCGAACAGUUAGAAGGAUUGACGGUACCGGAAUAGAAAGCCACGGCUAACUACGUGCCAGCAGCCGCGGUAAUACGUAGGUGGCAAGCGUUGUCCGGAUUUACUGGGCGUAAAGGGAGCGUAGGCGGAUUUUUAAGUGGGAUGUGAAAUACCCGGGCUCAACCUGGGUGCUGCAUUCCAAACUGGAUAUCUAGAGUGCAGGAGAGGAAAGUGGAAUUCCUGGUGUAACGGUGGAAUGUGUAGAUAUCGGGAAGAACACCAAUGGCGAAGGCAGGUCUCUGGGCCGUUACUGACGCUGAGGAGCGAAAGCGUGGGGAGCGAACAGGAUUAGAUACCCUGGUAGUCCACGCCGUAAACGAUGUCGAUUUGGAGGUUGUGCCCUUGAGGCGUGGCUUCCGGAGCUAACGCGUUAAAUCGACCGCCUGGGGAGUACGGCCGCAAGGUUAAAACUCAAAGGAAUUGACGGGGGCCCGCACAAGCGGUGGAGCAUGUGGUUUAAUUCGAUGCAACGCGAAGAACCUUACCUGGUCUUGACAUCCACGGAAGUUUUCAGAGAUGAGAAUGUGCCUUCGGGAACCGUGAGACAGGUGCUGCAUGGCUGUCGUCAGCUCGUGUCGGGAGAUGUUGGGUUAAGUCCCGCAACGAGCGCAACCCUUGUCUUUAGUUGCCAUCAUUAAGUUGGGCACUCUAGAGAGACUGCCAGGGAUAACCUGGAGGAAGGUGGGGAUGACGUCAAAUCAUCAUGCCCCUUAUGCCUAGGGCUACACACGUGCUACAAUGGGUGGUACAGAGGGCAGCCAAGCCGUGAGGUGGUGCAAAUCCCUUAAAGCCAUUCUCAGUUCGGAUUGUAGGCUGAAACUCGCCUACAUGAAGCUGGAGUUACUAGUAAUCGCAGAUCAGAAUGCUGCGGUGAAUGCGUUCCCGGGUCUUGCACACACCGCCCGUCA